This 388-nucleotide small RNA is filed under the name Vigna angularis var. angularis. Its description in RNAcentral is "Non-protein coding transcript". Lineage: Eukaryota; Viridiplantae; Streptophyta; Magnoliopsida; Fabales; Fabaceae. The record is from RNAcentral.
UAUAAGGACAAGUUAAAUUGAAAACAUAGAUCUUUAGUAACCUUGCUGAAAAACAAAAAUAAUUUUGUUCUCCGUUAAUAUCGUUGUGGUGGUACAUUUUUCUGUGUAAAGCAGGUUUUGCAGCUGAGCAUCAAGACUAGACAUAUCAAAGAAUGUUAUACAAAGGGAUAACCUUGCAAUGGCAUGCUAUAUGUUGAAAAUGAAGGAGACUCAAGGGUGGUGUUGGGGAAAGUAGAGAGAGCAAGAAGGGAAACAACAGCUAUCCAAUUGUCUGAGAUGAACUUCAGACAAUGCACCCAUAUGAUCCACAAAUCAUGAUUAAGAAACACAAUUUUUGGCGUGUGAAAGGCCUUGUACAGAUCCUUAGGUGAUGCAUAUCUGAAGAAAC